AAAGGUAUUAGCAAGCAUAAAAAUUGCAACCUGAAUAUGCAAAAAUAUCAAAGUAACAAGCAUGCCCCAUAAUGAUAAAAUUAUCUCAACCCUUAUGCUCAGGUACUAGGAUUCCAAGUGAGAAUAAACUUCUCCUUUAACUCAACUGGGUCUUCUUUGUAAUAAGAUACACUUUUGAACUUGAGAGGAAGUGAAAGAUAGGCUAAGAGUUCACCAUUAUUGCACCGGGCCCGUACCAUUUAAGUUAGUCUUUGUGCUUAAACCAAAUUUACAAUUAUAUAAAGACAAAUAGGCGCCUUCCUAUGUAAGUUAGUAACCACAUUUUGACUGUCUUUAUUUCCCUACAUUCUUCAAUAAAAAAAAGGCAAGCGGAUAAUUUUAAACUAGAAAGCAUGGCAUGGGUACGCACAGACAUGAGUCACAGUCAUGGGCAUAUAACAAAAUUUUAAGUAUCUCUGUUUCCUAUUCUGUUUUUUUUUUUUGGGAUAAAAUUAUCUGAUAUUCGUUACUAACAUGUUAGAUUGGACAAUUGCUAAACACAGGAGUACCUGUGCAAUUUAAAGUGUCACAAAGUGUGCUGUCAUGUUUUAUACAGUGUUAGACACAAACAUGGCUCCUUUACUGAAGUGUCCAUGUUUAAUCAGGUUUUACAGUUCUGCACCAUAUGAUUUGAUCUUUUGCGGAAAAUUCUUGAAAAGAUUAUGCUUUUCUAGGAAAACCUAAAAGCAAACACCUGAGAAGCAUUGCCUCAGUGUCCUAAAGCCAGCUUAAAAGGUCUGCAAAGAGUAUAGAUACCAAAACCAAAAGAUAAAUCACAGUAGCAGGGG
Molecule: long non-coding RNA, 827 nt
Organism: Neltuma alba
Lineage: Eukaryota; Viridiplantae; Streptophyta; Magnoliopsida; Fabales; Fabaceae
Exons: 2
Source: RefSeq, a predicted model, not a curated record